GCAAGGGUAACUAAGCUUGGCCAAAGGUGCAGGACUUAAGAUCCUGUCCCGAAGGGGUUCGCGGGUUCAAAUCCCGUCCCUUGCA
This is a transfer RNA of Acidiplasma cupricumulans, 85 nucleotides long. It matches the Rfam family "tRNA". Rfam says of the family: Transfer RNA (tRNA) molecules are approximately 80 nucleotides in length. Their secondary structure includes four short double-helical elements and three loops (D, anti-codon, and T loops). The record is from Rfam. Lineage: Archaea; Methanobacteriati; Thermoplasmatota; Thermoplasmata; Thermoplasmatales; Ferroplasmaceae.